This 318-nucleotide ribosomal RNA is filed under the name uncultured eukaryote. RNAcentral's name for it is "partial 18S ribosomal RNA". It matches the Rfam family "Eukaryotic small subunit ribosomal RNA", at positions 1470 to 1795 of the family's 1831-position model. The record is from RNAcentral.
CCCUUAGAUGUUCUGGGCAGCACGCGCGCUACAAUGGUCUUCGCAAACGGAUGCAUUCUCGAAGGAGAAUGCCAAUCUUGGAAUCUAUGCCUUGGUCGGGACAGUUGCUUGCAAUUUUUCGACUCGAACCAGGAAUUCCUUGUAAUCGUGAUUCAUCACAUCACGAUGAAUACGUCCCUGCCCUUUGUACACACCGCCCGUCGCUCCUACCGAUCGAAGAGUUAGGUGAAUUGUUUUGAUCGAUAAGAUUUGACUAUGGUCAACUCUCGUUGUGAAAUUCUGUGAAUCUGACUGUUUAGAGGAAGGAAAAGGCGUAAC